Molecule: ribosomal RNA, 405 nt
Filed under: uncultured bacterium
Lineage: Bacteria
Description: bacterial SSU rRNA
Rfam family: Bacterial small subunit ribosomal RNA
Source: RNAcentral
UGGGGAAUAUUGCACAAUGGGGGAAACCCUGAUGCAGCAACGCCGCGUGAGUGAAGAAGUAUUUCGGUAUGUAAAGCUCUAUCAGCAGGGAAGAAGAAAGACGGUACCUGACUAAGAAGCCCCGGCUAACUACGUGCCAGCAGCCGCGGUAAUACGUAGGGGGCAAGCGUUAUCCGGAUUUACUGGGUGUAAAGGGAGCGUAGACGGCUGUGCAAGUCUGAAGUGAAAGCCCGUGGCUCAACCGCGGAACUGCUUUGGAAACUGUAUAGCUUGAGUACUGGAGAGGCAGGCGGAAUUCCUAGUGUAGCGGUGAAAUGCGUAGAUAUUAGGAGGAACACCAGUGGCGAAGGCGGCCUGCUGGACAGAAACUGACGUUGAGGCUCGAAAGCGUGGGGAGCAAACAGG